UACGGGGGGGGCAAGCGUUGUUCGGAAUUACUGGGCGUAAAGGGCGCGUAGGCGGCCUGCUAAGUCGGACGUGAAAUCCCUCGGCUCAACCGGGGAACUGCGUCCGAUACUGGUGGGCUCGAAUCCGGGAGAGGGAUGUGGAAUUCCAGGUGUAGCGGUGAAAUGCGUAGAUAUCUGGAGGAACACCGGUGGCGAAGGCGGCAUCCUGGACCGGUAUUGACGCUGAUGCGCGAAAGCCAGGGGAGCAAACGGG
This 253-nucleotide ribosomal RNA is filed under the name uncultured bacterium. Its description in RNAcentral is "partial 16S ribosomal RNA". It matches the Rfam family "Bacterial small subunit ribosomal RNA", at positions 524 to 776 of the family's 1533-position model. The record is from RNAcentral.